CUUUUCACUGAUCUUGUCAUAUUUCUGCUUUUUAGUACCAGCUUUCAAGCCUUGCCAGGGAAGGCUGAAAAUCAAAAGAAAAUCCAAGUCAAAUAAUUUUUUCUUUUUAAUGCCCAAAGAGUGCAUCAUAGGGAACAAAGGCCUGCCAUUCCAAAGAAACUAAGUUAAAUAUGUCAUUGAACUUGAUUGAGGCAAAUCAGUGAAGUGCCAACCUUCCUCUCAGAAAAUACAUAAGCACAUAACCAAGA
RNAcentral lists this unclassified non-coding RNA (248 nucleotides) under Hevea brasiliensis (rubber tree). Lineage: Eukaryota; Viridiplantae; Streptophyta; Magnoliopsida; Malpighiales; Euphorbiaceae. The record is from RNAcentral.